Molecule: ribosomal RNA, 301 nt
Filed under: uncultured bacterium
Lineage: Bacteria
Description: partial 16S ribosomal RNA
Rfam family: Bacterial small subunit ribosomal RNA
Source: RNAcentral
CAGCCGCCGCGGUAACACGGAGGGUGCAAGCGUUAAUCGGAAUUACUGGGCGUAAAGCGCACGCAGGCGGUCUGACAAGUCAGAUGUGAAAUCCCCGGGCUUAACCUGGGAACUGCAUUUGAAACUGUCAGGCUGGAGUCUUGUAGAGGGGGGUGGAAUUCCAGGUGUAGCGGUGAAAUGCGUAGAGAUCUGGAGGAAUACCGGUGGCGAAGGCGGCCCCCUGGACAAAGACUGACGCUCAGGUGCGAAAGCGUGGGGAGCAAACAGGAUUAGAUACCCGCGUAGUCCCUGUCUCUUAUAA